GUGUCAGUAGUUCAGGGGUAAAAUUCUCGCCUUCUAAGGGGGAGAGCUAGGCUCGAUUCCCAGCUGACGCA
RNAcentral lists this transfer RNA (71 nucleotides) under Scleropages formosus (Asian bonytongue). It matches the Rfam family "tRNA". Rfam says of the family: Transfer RNA (tRNA) molecules are approximately 80 nucleotides in length. The record is from Rfam by way of RNAcentral. Lineage: Eukaryota; Metazoa; Chordata; Actinopteri; Osteoglossiformes; Osteoglossidae.